ACGUCCCUGCCCUUUGUACACACCGCCCGUCGCUACUACCGAUUGAAUGGCUUAGUGAGUCCCUCGGAUUGGUGUCUGCCAGCUGGCAACAGCAGGCGAACGCUGAGAAGUUGGGCAAACUUGGUCAUUUAGAGGAAGUAAAAGUCGUAACAAGGUUUCCGUAGGUGAACCUGCGGAAGGAUCAUUACAGGGUUUCAAUGCCGCGCCCGCUCUCCGGCGGCCGGCAAUAACCACGAUCAUAUACCACUGUGUGCACUCAUUGAACUAUGGCCUCCCUCUGGGGCCUUGCCCCGGACGGGGGGUUUAUAUUUCCAAAACCCCAGCCUUACCGUCCGUCUGAUCUUUUUUGAUUACAAAAAAACAAAAAUACAACUUUCAACAACGGAUCUCUUGGCUCUCGCAUCGAUGAAGAACGCAGCGAAAUGCGAUACGUAUUGUGAAUUGCAGAAUUCAGUGAAUCAUCGAAUCUUUGAACGCAUAUUGCACUCCCUGGCAUUCCGGGGAGUAUGCCUGUUUCAGCAUCAUAAGCACCAUCGGAAACCCCCCUCGUCCUUCCGGGUGGGGGGAGCUUUCGGAUCUGGGCCUCUUUUUUUAUCGCGAGGGAUGGAAAUCCCGCGCUGGCCUGAAAUCGAAUCGCGCCGUGCAAAAACCAGGUUGGGGGGAGGGAGGUCCGCCUCUCCGACCCCAACCAACCCCGCGUCAAAGGCGUCAUAGUUGGCCACGAGUCAUCUUUCGCCCGGCGGUGGUCGCGCGGUCGCGCUUUUUCCCGUCGUCCCGACGGGAAAAACCAAAAGAAUUUUUUUCUUUCUUCAAAAAUUUGAUCUGAAAUCAGGCAGGAUUACCCGCUGAACUUAAGCAUAUCAAUAAGCGGAGGAAAAGAAACUAACAAGGAUUCCCCUAGUAACGGCGAGUGAAGCGGGAAGAGCUCAAAUUUGGAAUCUGGCGCCUCCGGCGUCCGAGUUGUAAGCUAGAGAGGCGGUUUUCGGCGGGCGCCUGGGUAUAAGUCCUCUGGAACAGGGCAUCAUAGAGGGUGAGAAUCCCGUCUUUGACCCGGAGCAGCCUGCUAUGUGAUACGCCUUCGAAGAGUCGGUUUGUUUGGGAAUGCAGACCAAAAUGGGUGGUAAAUUCCAUCUAAAGCUAAAUACAGGCGAGGGACCGAUAGCGAACAAGUACCGUGAGGGAAAGAUGAAAAGAACUUUGAAAAGAGAGUUAAACAGUACGUGAAAUUGUUGAAAGGGAAACGAUUGAAGCCAGUCGUACCGGCGGAUAAUCAGCCUUUCGAGUGCGAUUCUGUGGAGCGUGAGGAGCUUAAUCGCCUUCACGUCUUGCAUAUUCGUGCACUUUUGGUGUACUUGUCCGUGUGGUGAGUUAACAUCAAUUCCGGUCGGCAUAAAAUGAUUGGAGGAAUGUAGCUUCGAUCUCGUAUCGAAGUGUUAUAGACUCUGGUAGAUGUGACGAUUGGGAUUGAGGAUUGCAACGGAUACCCUUCGGGCUACCCGCCUGAUCUCUGAAGGUUGCUCCGGUGCCGAAAGCGUGCUUAUGGUCAUCGAAAGUGAUCGUCAAAAGGUUAGAACGGGUUAAAUUCGUUAAGGAUGUUGACGUAAUGGCUUUAAACGACCCGUCUUGAAACACGG
RNAcentral lists this ribosomal RNA (1634 nucleotides) under uncultured Glomeromycotina. RNAcentral describes it as "eukaryotic LSU rRNA". The stretch from base 819 to 1634 matches the Rfam family "Eukaryotic large subunit ribosomal RNA", at positions 1 to 664 of the family's 3401-position model. The record is from RNAcentral. Lineage: Eukaryota; Fungi; Glomeromycota.